This 485-nucleotide ribosomal RNA is filed under the name uncultured bacterium. Its description in RNAcentral is "bacterial SSU rRNA". It matches the Rfam family "Bacterial small subunit ribosomal RNA", at positions 26 to 507 of the family's 1533-position model. The record is from RNAcentral.
AGGACGAACGCUGGCGGCGCGCCUAACACAUGCAAGUCGAACGAGCAAAGAGAGCUUGCUUCUCUGAGCGAGUGGCGAACGGGUGAGUAACGCGUGGAUAACCUGCCAUACACUGGGGGAUAACAGCUGGAAACAGCUGCUAAUACCGCAUAAAACUGUAGAGUCGCAUGACUUUAUAGCCAAGGCUCCGGCGGUGUAUGAUGGAUCCGCGUCUGAUUAGGCAGUUGGCGGGGUAACGGCCCACCAAACCGACGAUCAGUAGCCGACCUGAGAGGGUGACCGGCCACAUUGGAACUGAGACACGGUCCAAACUCCUACGGGAGGCAGCAGUGAGGAAUAUUGGUCAAUGGAGGCAACUCUGAACCAGCCAAGUAGCGUGCAGGAUGACGGCCCUAUGGGUUGUAAACUGCUUUUAUGCGGGGAUAAACUGACUCACGUGUGGGUCAUUGCAGGUACCGCAUGAAUAAGGACCGGCUAAUUCCGUG